UACGGAGGGAGCUAGCGUUGUUCGGAAUUACUGGGCGUAAAGCGCACGUAGGCGGCCAUUCAAGUCAGAGGUGAAAGCCCAGGGCUCAACCUUGGAACUGCCUUUGAAACUAGAUGGCUAGAAUCCUGGAGAGGCGAGUGGAAUUCCGAGUGUAGAGGUGAAAUUCGUAGAUAUUCGGAAGAACACCAGUGGCGAAGGCGACUCGCUGGACAGGUAUUGACGCUGAGGUGCGAAAGCGUGGGGAGCAAACAGGAUUAGAAACCCGUGUAGUCC
RNAcentral lists this ribosomal RNA (273 nucleotides) under uncultured bacterium. RNAcentral's name for it is "partial 16S ribosomal RNA". It matches the Rfam family "Bacterial small subunit ribosomal RNA", at positions 524 to 796 of the family's 1533-position model. The record is from RNAcentral.